UACGAAGGGGGCUAGCGUUGCUCGGAAUCACUGGGCGUAAAGGGUGCGUAGGCGGGUCUUUAAGUCAGGGGUGAAAUCCUGGAGCUCAACUCCAGAACUGCCUUUGAUACUGAGGAUCUUGAGUUCGGGAGAGGUGAGUGGAACUGCGAGUGUAGAGGUGAAAUUCGUAGAUAUUCGCAAGAACACCAGUGGCGAAGGCGGCUCACUGGCCCGAUACUGACGCUGAAGCACGAAAGCGUGGGGAGCAAACAGG
This 253-nucleotide ribosomal RNA is filed under the name uncultured bacterium. RNAcentral's name for it is "partial 16S ribosomal RNA". It matches the Rfam family "Bacterial small subunit ribosomal RNA", at positions 524 to 776 of the family's 1533-position model. The record is from RNAcentral.